This 373-nucleotide ribosomal RNA is filed under the name uncultured bacterium. RNAcentral describes it as "bacterial SSU rRNA". It matches the Rfam family "Bacterial small subunit ribosomal RNA", at positions 120 to 523 of the family's 1533-position model. The record is from RNAcentral.
GGGAAUCUGCCCAAGGGUGGGGGAUAACUAACCGAAAGGUUAGCUAAUACCGCAUAUGCCGUGAGGUAAAAGGAGUAAUCCGCCCCUGGAUGAGCCUGCGUCCGAUUAGCUUGUUGGUAGGGUAAAAGCCUACCAAGGCUACGAUCGGUAGCUGGUCUGAGAGGAUGAUCAGCCACAAUGGGACUGAGACACGGCCCAUACUCCUACGGGAGGCAGCAGUGGGGAAUUUUACGCAAUGGGGGAAACCCUGACGUAGCGACACCGCGUGAGCGAAGAAGCCCUUAGGGGUGUAAAGCUCUGUCAGCAGGGACGAAAAAAAUGACGGUACCUGCAGAGGAAGCAUCGGCUAACUACGUGCCAGCAGACGCGGUAA